GGGGAGCCGAAGGGAAACCGAGUCUUAACUGGGCGUUAAGUUGCAGGGUAUAGACCCGAAACCCGGUGAUCUAGCCAUGGGCAGGUUGAAGGUUGGGUAACACUAACUGGAGGACCGAACCGACUAAUGUUGAAAAAUUAGCGGAUGACUUGUGGCUGGGGGUGAAAGGCCAAUCAAACCGGGAGAUAGCUGGUUCUCCCCGAAAGCUAUUUAGGUAGCGCCUCGUGAAUUCAUCUCCGGGGGUAGAGCACUGUUUCGGCAAGGGGGUCAUCCCGACUUACCAACCCGAUGCAAACUGCGAAUACCGGAGAAUGUUAUCACGGGAGACACACGGCGGGUGCUAACGUCCGUCGUGAAGAGGGAAACAACCCAGACCGCCAGCUAAGGUCCCAAAGUCAUGGUUAAGUGGGAAACGAUGUGGGAAGGCCCAGACAGCCAGGAUGUUGGCUUAGAAGCAGCCAUCAUUUAAAGAAAGCGUAAUAGCUCACUGGUCGAGUCGGCCUGCGCGGAAGAUGUAACGGGGCUAAACCAUGCACCGAAGCUGCGGCAGCGACGCUUAUGCGUUGUUGGGU
This 572-nucleotide ribosomal RNA is filed under the name Escherichia coli. RNAcentral's name for it is "partial 23S ribosomal RNA". It matches the Rfam family "Bacterial large subunit ribosomal RNA", at positions 660 to 1229 of the family's 2925-position model. The record is from RNAcentral. Lineage: Bacteria; Pseudomonadati; Pseudomonadota; Gammaproteobacteria; Enterobacterales; Enterobacteriaceae.